This 433-nucleotide ribosomal RNA is filed under the name uncultured bacterium. RNAcentral's name for it is "partial 16S ribosomal RNA". It matches the Rfam family "Bacterial small subunit ribosomal RNA", at positions 29 to 507 of the family's 1533-position model. The record is from RNAcentral.
AACGAACGAGGGAGGGAGGAGGAACAAAGGCAAGUCGAACGAGACCUUCGGGUCUAGUGGCGCACGGGUGCGUAACGCGUGGGAACCUGCCCUUAGGUUCGGAAUAACUCCCCGAAAGGGGUGCUAAUACCGGAUCAUGUCUUCGGACCAAAGAUUUAUCGCCUUUGGAUGGGCCCGCGUUGGAUUAGCUAGUUGGUAGGGUAAAAGCCUACCAAGGCGACGAUCCAUAGCUGGUCUGAGAGGAUGAUCAGCCACACUGGGACUGAGACACGGCCCAGACUCCUACGGGAGGCAGCAGUGGGGAAUAUUGGACAAUGGGCGAAAGCCUGAUCCAGCAAUGCCGCGUGAGUGAUGAAGGCCUUAGGGUUGUAAAGCUCUUUUACCCGGGAUGAUAAUGACAGUACCGGGAGAAUAAGCUCCGGCUAACUCCGUG